This 241-nucleotide long non-coding RNA is filed under the name Hordeum vulgare. RNAcentral describes it as "long non-coding RNA (HVUL_LNC013355)". The record is from RNAcentral. Lineage: Eukaryota; Viridiplantae; Streptophyta; Magnoliopsida; Poales; Poaceae.
GACCCUUAUAUAUCCAUUGAUCAGUUUGCAUGUCCAUUUUUCGGUAUCCUAAUGAAAAUAUGUGAGCUAUGAGGGAGUCCGGAUAUUCAUUGGCCAAUGAAAAACAGCCACAUGUCCUUCCUUUUCCCUCUCCUCUCUCUUUUCCCAACCACAGUACACACAUAUUCAACUGACAUUUGCAGUGUCUCUUUUGGGCGUUUGCAUUGGAGAUGCCAUUAUCCUCUACGGCUCUACCACAACC